Small nuclear RNA from Anarrhichthys ocellatus (wolf-eel), 158 nucleotides. RefSeq annotates it as U1 spliceosomal RNA. The transcript has a single exon. NCBI's taxonomy places the organism in Eukaryota, Metazoa, Chordata, Actinopteri, Perciformes, Anarhichadidae. The record is from RefSeq and is a predicted model, not a curated record.
AUACUUACCUGGCAGGAGCGAUACCAUGAUCAAGAGGGUGGUUCAUUCAGGACGAGGCUCACACACUGCACUCCGGUUGUGCUGUUCGCUGCGAAUUCCUCAAAUGUUUGAAUCUCAACGGCAUAAUUUGUGGUAGUGGUGCUCUCCUCAGACUCUAA